RNAcentral lists this ribosomal RNA (253 nucleotides) under uncultured bacterium. RNAcentral describes it as "partial 16S ribosomal RNA". It matches the Rfam family "Bacterial small subunit ribosomal RNA", at positions 524 to 776 of the family's 1533-position model. The record is from RNAcentral.
UACGUAGGGACCAAGCGUUGUUCGGAUUUACUGGGCGUAAAGGGCGCGUAGGCGGCCUAGCAAGUCACUUGUGAAAUCUCCGGGCUUAACUCGGAACUGCCAAGUGAAACUGCCAGGCUAGAGUGCAGAAGGGGCAAUCGGAAUUCUUGGUGUAGCGGUGAAAUGCGUAGAUAUCAAGAGGAACACCUGAGGUGAAGACGGGUUGCUGGGCUGACACUGACGCUGAGGCGCGAAAGCCAGGGGAGCAAACGGG